This 468-nucleotide ribosomal RNA is filed under the name uncultured bacterium. RNAcentral's name for it is "partial 16S ribosomal RNA". It matches the Rfam family "Bacterial small subunit ribosomal RNA", at positions 28 to 507 of the family's 1533-position model. The record is from RNAcentral.
GACGAACGCUGGCGGCGUGCUUAACACAUGCAAGUCGAACGGAAAGGCCCUGCUUUUGUGGGGUGCUCGAGUGGCGAACGGGUGAGUAACACGUGAGUAACCUGCCCUUGACUUUGGGAUAACUUCAGGAAACUGGGGCUAAUACCGGAUAGGAGCUCCUGCUGCAUGGUGGGGGUUGGAAAGUUUCGGCGGUUGGGGAUGGACUCGCGGCUUAUCAGCUUGUUGGUGGGGUAGUGGCUUACCAAGGCUUUGACGGGUAGCCGGCCUGAGAGGGUGACCGGCCACAUUGGGACUGAGAUACGGCCAAGACUCCGACGGGAGGCAGAAGUGGGGAAUAUUGAACAAUGGGCGGAAGCCUGAUGCAGCAACGCCGCGUGCGGGAUGACGGCCUUCGGGUUGUAAACCGCUUUCGCCUGUGACGAAGCGUGAGUGACGGUAAUGGGUAAAGAAGCACCGGCUAACUACGUG